UACAGGGGGUGCAAGCGUUAAUCGGAUUUACUGGGCGUAAAGGGCGCGUAGGUGGUUAUUUAAGUGAGAUGUGAAAUCCCCGGGCUUAACCUGGGAACUGCAUCUUAUACUGGAUAGCUGGAGUACAUUAGAGGGUAGUGGAAUUUCCGGUGUAGCGGUGAAAUGCGUAGAUAUCGGAAGGAACACCAGUGGCGAAGGCGGCUACCUGGAAUGAUACUGACACUGAGGCGCGAGAGCGUGGGGAGCAAACAGG
Molecule: ribosomal RNA, 253 nt
Filed under: uncultured bacterium
Lineage: Bacteria
Description: partial 16S ribosomal RNA
Rfam family: Bacterial small subunit ribosomal RNA
Source: RNAcentral